GCUCCGGAGUUCUAGGAGCACAGGCGCUCUGGGGCUCGCCGUGGGCUCUGGGAGCGCGGUGGCUGGUUUCGGAGGUGCUGGCGUGUCCCUUGCCCAGCGGGGGCCUGCUGUGGGGGAGGGCGGCAGGGCCAUGGUCGCACCCGUUCAGCAGGCCCCGGGCAGCUCGGCCACGGGCCCUCGCCUGCCGGCGGCCCUCUCGCUCCUCCUCAGGCGGCGCUGGGACGCGUCUCGACAGCUUGUAGCCAUGAGAAAUCAGGAGGUCUUCGACGCUGUACAUAAUGCACCGGCUUCAUCAAAGCUCGGCCCCGGGGAGCAGCGCGCGGGCGGGACCCACACUGAAGGGACAACAGAGAGGGUCUGAGAGCAGUGGCCCGUCCUCCCGAACCCGGCUGACGCCUCCCUGUCCCUGCGCUCCCACCGAGCGAGACUCGGGUGCGAACACCGCAUGGGCCCACGCGGAGGGGGGCGUGGAUGGCUCCGCCCGGGCGCCCACCCCCGCCGGCCGCCCCUCGCAGAGGAGUCUGGAACAGCGUCUAAGCAACGGGUGAUUAACGGCGUCCACCGUUCCCUGGCCCCCGGCAUCUGAAAACAAUGGGCAGACGCAGGAGGACAAAAUAAAUACAGACUCGGAAGCUGCAAUUACGACUGGGAGUUUCUAAAAAGAGCAACGACCAGCCACGGGCUUUACCUUGUUACACUUCCCGCUUCCACCUCGGUGCCCUACCGCUGCUCUCAGAGGGCGACGGCGGGGGCGAGCUGCCUGCCGAUGGGCUUAGGGGUAACCCGGGGGAGCCUCGGAAGGCAGAGCUGAAGUCUUGGGGCUUGCUGGCCCUGCACACCCCGCCCGCACCCUGCAGCACCCCACACGCUCUCCCCCCGGGAAAUCUCUAAGAAUCACAUUUCUCCCCCAGAACCCUUGGGGCAGCCACACCCCCAAUCCCAGAUCCCACCAGGGUCCACGGGCUCAACAGCGGCCACUCCCCUGGGGUACAUGGUCCGAGGCCACAGCCCUGGCAAAGAACAAAAGGAACCCACUGAGGUCAGGAACCUAUGGGAGGCAGGAGUACAAAGUACACCAGCUUCCACACACAGGACCUGGAGCGAUGCAGAUUCAGCUUAGUUUCUUUAGCGUCCUUAUCUACUUAAGGCUUAAUGGGCUGCCUCAAGAGGCAGCAAGAGGCCCACCAUGAACACAUCAGUCAGAGCAGCCCCCAGGAGAAGACGCUGACAUGCUGAGGAGACAGGCAUCCAAUGAACUGCUGCACAAAAAGAUGUCCCUUUUAAAGUUGCUUUCUGAUCCAGAGAUACCAGCAUCCUAAAUCAACAGCAUUUAAUUUGAUCACCCACUCACCAAUUCAAAGCGUUGCUAUAAAGACAAACAUAUAGUAAAAUUUGACAUAAAUGUAAGUUAUUUUAACAUCAGAGUUAACAACUGGAAAAGGUAUGUGUGCAGUUAAAAUAGCACAGUAGCAGGUGCAAUCCUUUUAAUCCCAGCGUUAGUGCUGACACCCAACCCCAGCUAUGACCCCUGUAGUAAGUUAAUAACUGCACCAAACCUGUUUUCUAUUCUGCAAAACAGCAAUGUUA
This is a long non-coding RNA of Canis lupus familiaris (dog), 1587 nucleotides long. RefSeq lists it as uncharacterized. NCBI's taxonomy places the organism in Eukaryota, Metazoa, Chordata, Mammalia, Carnivora, Canidae. The transcript is spliced from 3 exons. The record is from RefSeq and is a predicted model, not a curated record.